Artibeus jamaicensis (Jamaican fruit-eating bat) is the source of this 1409-nucleotide long non-coding RNA. RefSeq lists it as uncharacterized. The record is from RefSeq and is a predicted model, not a curated record. Lineage: Eukaryota; Metazoa; Chordata; Mammalia; Chiroptera; Phyllostomidae. The transcript is spliced from 3 exons.
AACUCUGACGGCCGUGUUCCGAGCUCCCAAAGCGCCCCUCGCGGUCCGCGGGCUGCCUUGAAACCUCACCCUGCCGGCUUCCAGGAGGGCUGCGCCAAGUACAGCAGUGGUGUUGGAAACGUUGUUGCAAAAUCCGUGCCCGCGCUGGUGGGCCAGACGCGCGGAGAGGCCUGGAAAGGUGUUUGGCAUCUGAUGUUGAGUGGCAUCUUCUGGCUCAAACCUGGCAGUUGAACAGCAAGUGGAUGGGAAAGAACCUUGACAACACAAAACUCAUUUACUAAUGGACUGGUUUUGAGUUUCUCUUCUCCGGGUCCGCAGAUCGCCCUGCCUGAGCUCUCGGCCUAUUCAGACCUCGCGGGGAGCAGAGUCCCCCAGGAGGCAGGUGGGAGGCUGCUCCCGCGGCGCCGCGUGGGUCGUCAGAGCCCGGGAUACCCAGGGUCGAGGACACCCGGAGUUUCCGAACAAGCAGAGGAAAAAGAUGAAUGUUGUCACUUCCACCAGGAUUUGGGGGGGUCUCCGCACUGCUCCUGAGCGACGAUGCUAAUUUGUUGAAAAAACACCUCCCGACGUCCUUCCCUUCCAAAUUACCAGUAGUUAAAGUAGGAUCCCCGCUGUUCUUGAUGGCGAAGGAAUUCCAAGAAAGCGGGCCUGGAGCCCCAAAGCAUCGCGCUGCAAGCCAGAAAGGAAAGACGUGGGUCCUAGCCAGAGGGUUUUGAACCAAGGCCUCAUGUCAACUCAGCCAGAAACUCCAGUAGCAACUAGUGCCUCGGCUUUGGCUCUUCCAUAAGGCCAGUUGUGCGCACCCAGCCGUUCCCUGCGUAGAGGAGGCACAUCGGAGCUACACCCGGCGUCGGGCACCCUCUGCCAGCGCGUUACCCUCGAGAGCCAAGAUGCGGCGAGGGCAGCAGCUAGAGUUGCACGUUCCCUUUAAAUCUCCGACGCAUCUCUGUUUUUCGUGUGAUUUGCAUUGACAGCAAGGGUUUUAAGUUACUAGAACAACUCAAACCUUUCUGUGUGCGAUUUAAAAUGGAUCAUUUGGUUUAUGUGGUUUGUAAAUUCAUGUCAUUUUACCUCUUUUAGUGGUUUUCAGUGAAAGGUUCCAUUUUGGGAAACCUUAUAUAUCCGAGCCAAUAAUUAACACUUAUAACAAUUGGUUCCUCUAACCAAGGGAUCGAAAUAGCAGGUAGUCUCGUUAGUACAAAGCGAAUAGCACUUUUCCUUUCUAGUUACGCGGUCUAUCGGGUUAAACGCAACGAGAAGGGCUGGCGGGGCCUCGGCAGGGCCUCCGAGAUGGAGCACUGCGCCUCAGCAACCCUGGUGCCUGCGGCAACCACAGCGUCCACAGGGUCGUCUUCCCAGGUAUCGCCAAGGUCUAGGAUGUCCUGGCCUCUUUGAAGAGAGAUGAAAAG